UUCGGGUUAAGUCCCGCAACGAGCGCAACCCCGCCGUUGUUGCCGGCGGUUCGGCCGGGCACUCUAACGGGACUGCCCGCGAAAGCGGGAGGAAGGAGGGACGACGUCUGGUCAGCAUGGCCCUUACGGCCUGGGCGACACACGUGCUACAAUGCCCACUACAAAGCGAUGCCACCCGGCAACGGGGAGCUAAUCGCAAAAAGGUGGGCCCAGUUCGGAUUGGGGUCUGCAACCCGACCCCAUGAAGCCGGAAUCGCUAGUAAUCGCGGAUCAGCCAUGCCGCGGUGAAUACGUUCCCGGGCCUU
Molecule: ribosomal RNA, 305 nt
Filed under: uncultured Thermus sp.
Lineage: Bacteria; Thermotogati; Deinococcota; Deinococci; Thermales; Thermaceae
Description: bacterial SSU rRNA
Rfam family: Bacterial small subunit ribosomal RNA
Source: RNAcentral